RNAcentral lists this ribosomal RNA (497 nucleotides) under uncultured bacterium. Its description in RNAcentral is "partial 16S ribosomal RNA". It matches the Rfam family "Bacterial small subunit ribosomal RNA", at positions 28 to 507 of the family's 1533-position model. The record is from RNAcentral.
GAUGAACGCUGGCGGCGUGCCUAAUACAUGCAAGUCGAGCGAACAGAUAAGGAGCUUGCUCCUUUGACGUUAGCGGCGGACGGGUGAGUAACACGUGGAUAACCUACCUAUAAGACUGGGAUAACUUCGGGAAACCGGAGCUAAUACCGGAUAAUAUUUAGAACCGCAUGGUUCUAUAGUGAAAGAUGGUUUUGCUGUCACUUAUAGAUGGAUCCGCGCCGUAUUAGCUAGUUGGUAAGGUAACGGCUUACCAAGGCAACGAUACGUAGCCGACCUGAGAGGGUGAUCGGCCACACUGGAACUGAGACACGGUCCAGACUCCUACGGGAGGCAGCAGUAGGGAAUCUUCCGCAAUGGGCGAAAGCCUGACGGAGCAACGCCGCGUGAGUGAUGAAGGUCUUCGGAUCGUAAAACUCUGUUAUUAGGGAAGAACAAAUGUGUAAGUAACUGUGCACGUCUUGACGGUACCUAAUCAGAAAGCCACGGCUAACUACGUG